AGAGUUUGAUCCUGGCUCAGAAUGAACGCUGGCGGCGUGCCUAACACAUGCAAGUCGAACGAGAAAGGGGCCUUCGGGCUCUGAGUAAAGUGGCGAACGGGUGAGUAACGCGUGGGUAACCUGUCCUCAAGUGGGGAAUAACCUGGCGAAAGCCGGGCUAAUACCGCAUAAAAUCCUCGACUCCCCGGAGUUGAGGCUCAAAGGUAGCGAACUUCGAGUGCUGACGCUUGAGAGGGGGCCUGCGUCCCAUUAGCUAGUUGGUGAGGUAACGGCCCACCAAGGCUCCGAUGGGUAGCCGAGCUGAGAGGCUGAUCGGCCACACUGGAACUGAGACACGGUCCAGACUCCUACGGGAGGCAGCAGUGGGGAAUUUUGCGCAAUGGGGGAAACCCUGACGCAGCGACGCCGCGUGGGUGAUGAAGGCCUUCGGGUCGUAAAGCCCUGUCGAGCGGGACGAAACGUACGAGCUCUAACAUAGCUCGUACCUGACGGUACCGCUGGAGGAAGCCCCGGCUAACUCCGUGCCAGCAGCCGCGGUAAUACGGGGGGGGCGAGCGUUAUUCGGAAUUAUUGGGCGUAAAGGGCGUGUAGGCGGCCUAGCAUGUCCUCUGUGAAAGCCCUCGGCUCAACCGAGGAACUGCAGGGGAAACUGCAAGGCUUGAGUCCGGGAGAGGAGAGCGGAAUUCCCAGUGUAGCGGUGAAAUGCGUAGAUAUUGGGAGGAACACCAGUGGCGAAGGCGGCUCUCUGGACCGGUACUGACGCUAAAGCGCGAAAGCUAGGGGAGCAAACGGGAUUAGAUACCCCGGCAGUCCUAGCCGUAAACGAUGAGCGCUUGGUGUGGCGGGUAUCGACCCCUGCCGUGCCGAAGCUAACGCAUUAAGCGCUCCGCCUGGGGAGUA
This 900-nucleotide ribosomal RNA is filed under the name uncultured bacterium. RNAcentral's name for it is "bacterial SSU rRNA". It matches the Rfam family "Bacterial small subunit ribosomal RNA", at positions 8 to 882 of the family's 1533-position model. The record is from RNAcentral.